UUUCUAUUAGAUGACCCAACUCUUAAAGAUUAAACUUCCAAUUUAAUCCAUAACAGAAGCAUUGAAAAAUGGCUCAAACGUUUCCUCUCUAACCCAAGCCUAUAUACCUGGUUUUAUGCCUGCCUCCCCAAAACGAUGUUGUCUUAAAGAGGUUAAAUAAGAGUUCCCAAGUCUAUAUACCUUGUUUUAUGCAUGGCUCCCAAAAACGACACUGUU
This 216-nucleotide long non-coding RNA is filed under the name Carica papaya (papaya). RNAcentral describes it as "long non-coding RNA (CPAP_LNC009892)". Lineage: Eukaryota; Viridiplantae; Streptophyta; Magnoliopsida; Brassicales; Caricaceae. The record is from RNAcentral.